AAUCUGCUUUACACAUACAGUUUUGUUGGGAUUGAUGUGGUGCUGUGGUGCUACUGUGAGUAAAAACUUCAGCUGGAGAGAAAUAAAACGUUUAAAUAAAUUGCGAAAACACUAGCGGCCCAAGAACCAGCAUUAAUGAAACACAAGGAAAGCUGCUUUAGGCAAGCGCCUGUGUUGAGAGGAGGUGGCCUACACACCAUCUUGCUUCAACUCAAGAAAUCUGGCAACCUUGGAGGUGUGAACUACAUGCAGACCAUGCCACACGAUGAGCCUACAUCCAUCACCCUCACAGCCACAAAUCCCCAUCCUCCAUUAUGGCUCUAUGUGGACUGCCCCUGGAGAACCCUUCAGCCAUGAACAUCAAUCAGCAGGGCACAGUGAUACUGCUCACACACAGAGCAUCGGUCAUAGCUUGAGAGCCAGUAGAGAUGCUGUCUGAGCUACAGAACAGAAAGACAUAAAAAUUACUGGCUUUCAGGACAUCCACAAGAACUUGGUUUAAUACUUUGCUUUAUGUAUUCGAAAGGCACCAUAAAUAAAGACAGCUAUCUUCUAAGAAAUAGUUUUUUGCCCAAAUUUUUUUAAUUGGUUGUUCCCGUUGUUAAAUGUAACUAAAGAAACAAGAUUUCACAGGCUCUGUAUGAAUUAAAUAGGGGGUUAAAAACAUAGAACUGUGUUGUUAUAAGAAAAUAAAUAAAUAACUGAGUGGGCCUCUCUUAUUACUGUCAGAAAUUUAGUCUGUCAGAAAUUUGUUAGAAACCCAGAAGGUGAUUAUUAUUUUCAUAUAACCCUAAGUGGUAUUCCUCUCAUGCCAGUGACUACAACUUUUAAUUUACUAACGAAUUAUAUAUCGUAUUUUUUAAUUGUUUAUAGUUACAUUUAACAUUAAGACAUAAGUCAGUUCCUGUUCUUGUUAAUUAACUGUUACUAUAGAAACAAUAAUGUAUUUUUAAAAAAGCUAAAAGUUGGUUGGUAGAAUUGGCUCAAUGGUUAAAACUCUGGGUUACUGAUCAGAAGGUUGAGAGUUCAAGCCCCAGCACUGCCAAGCUGACACUGUUGGGCCCUUGAUCAAGGCUCUUAACCCUCUCUGCUCCAGGGGGCGCUGUAUCAUAGCUGACCCUGCGCUCUGACCCCAACUUACUAACAAGUUGAGAAAAGGCUUGUUCUUAAUUAACACCUUCUGACCAAUCCGAUACAAGGAUUCAGCAGUGCUGUGGUAUUAAUUUAGUUAGACAUGUUUUUAUUUAAGAGGUCAUCAAGUGGUUGUGGCUAAACAAAAAUCUGCUACUAACAAAUGGACCAGUCGAUGUGGGAAAACGGCCAAACUACGAUAUUUACUCCUUACAACGUGUUCUUACUCUAAUGUAAUCCGUAUAUUUCAAAUUCAUACAACAAAUUACUGAAUGUGAUUAUUCAGCUGCAUUAUGGAACUAAUUGUUGACAAGUAAUGAACUCUGGACAGAACUCUAGACUGUAGGCUAUUUAAUGAUUUUGCAUACUGUAUGAAUAGUUUGAACAAUUAUACGUUUGUAUAGAAGUAGUGGGAUUCCUCCUAUUACAGCAGAUUCAGAGAGUCAUUUUUCAUCUCCAUAAAUAUUACAUGCAAAGACCUAGCUCAGCUCUCUGAGCCUGUAGACAUUUUCCUUGCUGUUUGCUUUGCUCUUCCAAGAUGUUUUGAUGUUUUGGGUCAUUUGCUGGUUAAUGUGAAGAUGUGGAGGAUCAGAAGGGUAAAAAAAUUACAAAAGAAAAUCUAUAUUUGUUUGAACUCUUUAUGAAUGCAUUUAGACAAAAGCAUGUACUAUUAUAGGUUAUAUAUCACUGACAUUCAUUUAGUAAUUGAAAUAUAUUUUAAAAUGUCAGAGGAUUGACUGUCUACCUUUGAUCCUUGAUGGGAUCUCUCGCUCCCGCUCUCUCUCUCUCCCUCUCUCUCUCUCUCUCUCAUUCCUGUAGCUAUAAAACUACUCACUCACAACGUUAAAGAUUGAGAGAUGUUUUAUGACAUGGCUGUUUAGUGAAAACCAAAAGAUCAGUAAUAAUACAUUAUGUACAGUCAACAUACUCAAACUUUUCCCCAUGAGGCCCACUUCACAGUUUUUUGAGAACUCGCAAUUACUAGUCCUAGCUAGUACUCUAGAUGAAAUUGAUUAUUAUCAGUAAUAAAGAUGAAAUAAAGAUAAAUAAAAAAUGUAAUAAGAUAAAGAUGUCCCAAAAAUAUCUUUAGUUAUAUUGCAACAGAAUAUUAGCAAUUAUAUUUUUGAUUAAACCAUGUUCUAAAAUCCCACAACAAGAUUUUUUCUUGCUUGCU
Molecule: long non-coding RNA, 2305 nt
Organism: Ictalurus punctatus (channel catfish)
Lineage: Eukaryota; Metazoa; Chordata; Actinopteri; Siluriformes; Ictaluridae
Exons: 3
Source: RefSeq, a predicted model, not a curated record